ACGUACACUCCUGCGGGAGGCAGCAGUGGGGAAUAUUGCACAAUGGGCGCAAGCCUGAUGCAGCCAUGCCGCGUGUAUGAAGAAGGCCUUCGGGUUGUAAAGUACUUUCAGCGGGGAGGAAGGCGAUAAGGUUAAUAACCUUGUUGAUUGACGUUACCCGCAGAAGAAGCACCGGCUAACUCCGUGCCAGCAGCCGCGGUAAUACGGAGGGUGCAAGCGUUAAUCGGAAUUACUGGGCGUAAAGCGCACGCAGGCGGUCUGUCAAGUCGGAUGUGAAAUCCCCGGGCUCAACCUGGGAACUGCAUUCGAAACUGGCAGGCUAGAGUCUUGUAGAGGGGGGUAGAAUUCCAGGUGUAGCGGUGAAAUGCGUAGAGAUCUGGAGGAAUACCGGUGGCGAAGGCGGCCCCCUGGACAAAGACUGACGCUCAGGUGCGAAAGCGUGGGGAGCAAACAGGAUUAGAUACCCCGGUAGUCCCAUG
RNAcentral lists this ribosomal RNA (479 nucleotides) under uncultured organism. RNAcentral describes it as "partial 16S ribosomal RNA". It matches the Rfam family "Bacterial small subunit ribosomal RNA", at positions 329 to 799 of the family's 1533-position model. The record is from RNAcentral.